UUGUGUCACUUGAGCGAAACCAAAUUAGUCAAAUUUACUAUUCUUAUAGGUUCACUUGGAUAUUAUUUGUGUUGCCAUAUAAUUUACCACUAAUUUUGAAAUUUGAUCAAAGAUUGACAAAUGGUAUUAAAAUGCUGAUGAAUCUGUGGUAGGGGUUUCCCAAGUUGGGUUUAUGCUCCAUAAUUACCCCAUAUUGGUGGAUAAGUUCAGAGUUAUGAGGUGUGUUCUGGUUAAUAAAUUUAUAUGUAAAUAUACUAUUCUUUGUGGUGUUUGGGUUUGUAGCAAAGGUAGGAUGGUCACAUGUAUGCACAAUGUUCUGCCAAACAUAGAAAGCAUCGUGCAAUCAUUGCACAAUAUUCUGACUUUAGGUCUGUCUUGAUUUCUUGACGUGUUAUUUUGUUGAAUAUUAUGGACAAUAAAAUUCUUUGUUUUAGUGUGACAAUGAUUCUUCUGCC
RNAcentral lists this long non-coding RNA (455 nucleotides) under Musa acuminata (dwarf banana). RNAcentral describes it as "long non-coding RNA (MACU_LNC011891)". Lineage: Eukaryota; Viridiplantae; Streptophyta; Magnoliopsida; Zingiberales; Musaceae. The record is from RNAcentral.